CCAGAGAAUUUAGCAGAGAUGCUUUAGUGCCUUCGGGAACUCUGAGACAGGUUGCUGCAUGGCUGUCGUCAGCUCGUGUUGUGAAAUGUUGGGUUAAGUCCCGCAAGAGCGCAACCCUUAUCCAUUGUUGCCAGCACGUAAUGGUGGGAACUCAAAGGAGACUGCCGGUGAUAAACCGGAGGAAGGUGGGGAUGACGUCAAGUCAUCAUGGCCCUUACGAGUAGGGCUACACACGUGCUACAAUGGCGCAUACAAAGAGAAGCGACCUCGCGAGAGCAAGCGGACCUCAUAAAGUGCGUCGUAGUCCGGAUUGGAGUCUGCAACUCGACUCCAUGAAGUCGGAAUCGCUAGUAAUCGUAAAUCAGAAUGUUACGGUGAAUACGUUCCCGGGCCUUGUACACACCGCCCGUCACACCAUGGGAGUGGGUUGCAAAAGAAGUAGAUAGCUUAACCUUCGGGAGGGCGUUUACCACUUUGUGAUUCAUGACUGGGGUGAAGUCGUAACAAGGUAAGCGUAGUGCU
RNAcentral lists this ribosomal RNA (522 nucleotides) under uncultured bacterium. RNAcentral's name for it is "bacterial SSU rRNA". It matches the Rfam family "Bacterial small subunit ribosomal RNA", at positions 988 to 1509 of the family's 1533-position model. The record is from RNAcentral.